AUGAUAGUUUCAUCGCUUUUCAUUAUAGGGCUUAUGGGACUUUUUUCUACAACAAAAGAGGCUCCAUCAUUCCUACAGUGGUGUUACCUACUGCAGAAAUUAUAGAGCC
This 109-nucleotide non-coding RNA is filed under the name Streptococcus sanguinis. RNAcentral's name for it is "Streptococcus RNA 266". It matches the Rfam family "Streptococcus RNA 266". The record is from RNAcentral. Lineage: Bacteria; Bacillati; Bacillota; Bacilli; Lactobacillales; Streptococcaceae.